GCCAGACUCCUACGGGAGGCAGCAGUGAGGAAUAUUGGUCAAUGGACGCAAGUCUGAACCAGCCAAGUAGCGUGCAGGAUGACGGCCCUCCGGGUUGUAAACUGCUUUUAGUUGGGAAUAAAAGGGGGCUCGUGAGCCCCGUAUUGUAUGUACCAUCAGAAAAAGGACCGGCUAAUUCCGUGCCAGCAGCCGCGGUAAUACGGAAGGUCCGGGCGUUAUCCGGAUUUAUUGGGUUUAAAGGGAGCGUAGGCCGGCUUUUAAGUCAGCUGUGAAAGUCCGCGGCUCAACCGUGGAAUUGCAGUUGAAACUGCAUCCCUUGAGUGCGCGAGAAGUAUGCGGAAUGCGUGGUGUAGCGGUGAAAUGCAUAGAUAUCACGCAGAACUCCGAUUGCGAAGGCAGCAUACCGGCGCUCAACUGACGCUCAUGCACGAAAGUGUGGGUAUCGAACAGGAUUAGAUACCCCAGUACA
Molecule: ribosomal RNA, 469 nt
Filed under: uncultured bacterium
Lineage: Bacteria
Description: bacterial SSU rRNA
Rfam family: Bacterial small subunit ribosomal RNA
Source: RNAcentral